UUCGUGAAAGGUGUGAGGGAGGAAGAAGGAAGGGAGAAGCGAAGAAGAAAGGCGGAGGGAGGAAGAAGCACCGUGUUCUAUUUUAUGGGCGACUGUUGGACGAGGCCAUCAACUCUUCCAUCUUAUCUUCCCUCUCGUCCUUGUCUGGUGAAAGAGGCUCAUAAUGUUUCUGAAGCACUAAAGACUAACAAAUGUCUCGUUUCUUUUUCCUCAGAAACGUUUACUAUGAAUGUUUCGCUGCUUCCUCUUGGUCUGAAAUACUUGUUGGGUGCUUUCUUUCGCUUAACAAAUGUGUGAAUCAUAUGCCCAUAUUCAGAAACGUUCUGCUUUCUCACCACGACUUGUCAAAGGCCGCAGAGAUGAUUAGCCGUGUCCUCAAGAGUGUUUCUCCAGUUAAUAAUUUAAAAAUCUUGUUAAUAUGUCAUUAGAAUAGCAAAAAGAAAAAAAAAAAAGAAAAAAAACUCUUAAAAAACAGUGUAACUUCAUUUAGAGCCUUCUGAAUAUAGUAGAGAUGAGGCGAAGUGUUUCGGAAUACGAUCCAUGAACGUCAUGCGAGUAUUCUUGCACAGAAUGAUCAGCUCGCCAAUAAACUCUCACAUCAAGCAUCAUGAUUGUGGGACUCAUUUCAUCAGAAUUCAUGCUCCUUUCAUAUAAGAAAAUAUCAUUUGCAUCAUGGAUAAGAUAUCGGGCCUUCAAAAAUACUGAACAUACACAAGCUGGUUCGAGACAUUCAGACAGUUUCGGUUACUAUCUAGGUUAAGUUAGGUUCGGUUCUAUCCGAUUGGGGUUGGUUGCAAUAGCUCACCUUACUACACACUCCCCAAAGUCAGCUGAGGUGGCUGUUGCUGACGUGAUCCGUAAACUCUAGCCUACAUCACAGACUUGACAAGUGAUUCGUAUUCCUCUGGUUCCAGCUCUACGUGGCUGAGACUGCGAUGGGACUGCGAGCACCAAGGUCUUUUGUGUGGACUGGUGUGACUCAUCUUUCUUCCCCGGUUGCUGCUGAGGUUCCUUGAAGGUCCCUGGCGGAUACUUGCCCUUGGUGGCGAACGAUGAUCCCUGGAAAGUGUGUGGUGGCGUUGCUGAACAGACUUGGGACUCACAAGGCUAUAGGGUUAGAUAAUCACUUGCCAGCCUGCUUUCCUCCACUCACAGUAUGCAAGGAACACUCACCUCUAUAAGGUUCUAAAAAACUGCUUAUAAGUUUGAAGUGCAAGUGAGUAAGUUGAUUGGUCUACGUGUGUUAUUUUGAAAUCAUCCGACGCUCCACAAACAUAACCUCUGCGUCAGGUAAUGAUCUUGACACUGAUAUGGCUGCUUGUUUGGACUCGUUACCGCGGUCAUUCACUGUCUGGCAACGAGAGCACUAAUGUUUGGGAGCAAAAUGGACUCAAAUAGUCUGGGAUUGCAGAUUCAUCUCAUUCUAGUAUGUCCGCCACACUAAGGAAAGGAGUGGCAGAAGGGAGUUGGGCGACGUGGAAGGAGUUUGUGAGCGGCCGCUGCGGGGUAUUCCACGUUAGUGAUGGCAGGAGUGGUUCAAAAGACCCUCGGAAAAGUAACUUUACCUACCCAACUAAAUGCGGAAAUGUGCGUGGAGGAAGUAUGCAUACAUACGUGGAAAUGGGUGUUAAGUGAUUCAUGACCUCACUUCCGACCGCAGGUAUUGGGUACCCAUUCCUGUU
This is a long non-coding RNA of Scylla paramamosain (green mud crab), 1682 nucleotides long. RefSeq lists it as uncharacterized. The transcript is spliced from 5 exons. Lineage: Eukaryota; Metazoa; Arthropoda; Malacostraca; Decapoda; Portunidae. The record is from RefSeq and is a predicted model, not a curated record.